UAGGAUUUCCAGGGCACAGCAGGGC
This 25-nucleotide non-coding RNA is filed under the name Mus musculus (house mouse). The record is from RNAcentral. Lineage: Eukaryota; Metazoa; Chordata; Mammalia; Rodentia; Muridae.